This 120-nucleotide ribosomal RNA is filed under the name uncultured bacterium. Its description in RNAcentral is "partial 16S ribosomal RNA". It matches the Rfam family "Bacterial small subunit ribosomal RNA", at positions 796 to 918 of the family's 1533-position model. The record is from RNAcentral.
CACGCAGUAAACGAUGAUUACUAGUUGUUUGCGAUACAAUGUAAGCGACUGAGCGAAAGCGUUAAGUAAUCCACCUGGGGAGUACGUUCGCAAGAAUGAAACUCAAAGGAAUUGACGGGG